Long non-coding RNA from Brachypodium distachyon (stiff brome), 810 nucleotides. RefSeq lists it as uncharacterized. The transcript has 3 exons. The record is from RefSeq and is a predicted model, not a curated record. Lineage: Eukaryota; Viridiplantae; Streptophyta; Magnoliopsida; Poales; Poaceae.
GCGACACUGCAGCCGCCCGGUGCCAGGGAAGCCGACCAAACCAAAGCUGCCACCACUUCCAAUGGAGGCGCCCCGGGACUUCCAUCGUUCCCCGGUCUGCCGUUGCCGCAGAUUCCUGGCCUCCCUAGCCUUCCACCGCUGUUCGGAUUUCUUUUCCCGCCGCUGUUCGGGCCACACCCUGGCGCGGCAGGCGCUCCGCCGUCGUCGCCGCCACCAAAGGAGUGCCUCACGUCGCUAGUAGGCAUGGCGCCAUGCAUGGACUACCUCACCAACCUUACAGUGACGACGCCACCGAGCAUGUGCUGCGAUGGCCUCAAGUCGGUCAUUACCAAUGCGCCCAUCUGCCUCUGCCACGGCAUGAACGGCGGCAUGAGCAAGCUCGCCCCCAAGCCCAUCGACCCGAUCCGUAUGCUUAUCCUCCCGAUCAGAUGUGGCGCCAUGUUACCGAUCCAGACAAUCUUCCAAUGCGCAACUACACCCCUGCCGCCGCUGACGCCUCCUACCUCCCCAGGGCCCCCAAUGCCUCCUGCUUCUCCCUUGUCGCCCGCGCCGCCAGUCAUGUCUUCUGGAUCCCCGGCGCCUGCUAGUUCUCCCGUCUCUCCACCUUGAGAACCAGCACCAGGGUAGCAGGAGGAGGAUGGCUCGAUCGUCGAUUCAUGGUUCCUUCAAGAUUAGAUGUCUAGUUACGUGCAGACAAUUGCCGUUUAUCUUAGUUUGAUUGAGAUAGGGAUAAGAUGUAGCCAAUUUUGAGUCAUAUAUAUGUGAUAGCUAGCUAGUUCUGCUUAUCAUAGGUACAGCCAUGUAAAACCU